AUUGAACGCUGGCGGCAGGCCUAACACAUGCAAGUCGAGCGGAUGAAGGGAGCUUGCUCCUGGAUUCAGCGGCGGACGGGUGAGUAAUGCCUAGGAAUCUGCCUGGUAGUGGGGGAUAACGUCCGGAAACGGGCGCUAAUACCGCAUACGUCCUGAGGGAGAAAGUGGGGGAUCUUCGGACCUCACGCUAUCAGAUGAGCCUAGGUCGGAUUAGCUAGUUGGUGGGGUAAAGGCCUACCAAGGCGACGAUCCGUAACUGGUCUGAGAGGAUGAUCAGUCACCCUGGAGCUGAGACACGGCCCUGGCUCCUACGGGAGGCAGCGGUGGGGAAUAUUGGACAAUGGGCGAAAGCCUGAUCCAGCCAUGCCGCGGGUGUGAAGAAGGUCUGCGGAUUGUAAAGCACUUUAAGUUGGGAGGAAGGGCAGUAAGUUAAGACCUUGCUGUUUUGACGUAACCAACAGAAUAGGCACCGGCUACCUUCGG
RNAcentral lists this ribosomal RNA (483 nucleotides) under uncultured bacterium. RNAcentral's name for it is "partial 16S ribosomal RNA". It matches the Rfam family "Bacterial small subunit ribosomal RNA", at positions 30 to 506 of the family's 1533-position model. The record is from RNAcentral.